This 253-nucleotide ribosomal RNA is filed under the name uncultured bacterium. RNAcentral's name for it is "partial 16S ribosomal RNA". It matches the Rfam family "Bacterial small subunit ribosomal RNA", at positions 524 to 776 of the family's 1533-position model. The record is from RNAcentral.
UACAGAGGGUGCAAGCGUUGUUCGGAAUUAUUGGGCGUAAAGGGCGCGUAGGCGGUGCGGUAAGUCUGUAGUGAAAUCUCUGGGCUCAACUCAGAGUCUGCUGCAGAAACUGCCGUGCUUGAGUGUGGGAGAGGUGAGUGGAAUUCCCGGUGUAGCGGUGAAAUGCGUAGAUAUCGGGAGGAAUACCGGUGGCGAAGGCGGCAUCCUGGACCGACAUUGACGCUGAGGAGCGAAAGCUAGGGGAGCAAACGGG